GUGGGGAAUAUUGGACAAUGGGCGAAAGCCUGAUCCAGCCAUGCCGCGUGUGUGAAGAAGGUCUUCGGAUUGUAAAGCACUUUAAGUUGGGAGGAAGGGCAGUAAGUUAAUACCUUGCUGUUUUGACGUUACUGACAGAAUAAGCACCGGCUAACUUCGUGCCAGCAGCCGCGGUAAUACGAAGGGUGCAAGCGUUAAUCGGAAUUACUGGGCGUAAAGCGCGCGUAGGUGGUUCAGCAAGUUGAAGGUGAAAUCCCCGGGCUCAACCUGGGAACUGCCUCCAAAACUACUGAGCUAGAGUACGGUAGAGGGUAGUGGAAUUUCCUGUGUAGCGGUGAAAUGCGGAGAUAUAGGAAGGAACACCAGUGGCGAAGGCGACUACCUGGACUGAUACUGACACUGAGGUGCGAAAGCGUGGGGAGCAAACAGGAUUAGAAACCCCAGUAGUCC
RNAcentral lists this ribosomal RNA (450 nucleotides) under uncultured bacterium. RNAcentral describes it as "partial 16S ribosomal RNA". It matches the Rfam family "Bacterial small subunit ribosomal RNA", at positions 354 to 796 of the family's 1533-position model. The record is from RNAcentral.